CAAUAGCGUAUAUUAAAGUUGUUGCAGUUAAAAAGCUCGUAGUUGGAUUUCUGGUAGGAGUGACCGUUCCGAACUUGAUUGUUCGUGUAUUGUGUUUUCUCCAGCCAUCCUUGUGGAGAACUUUUCUUGCAUUAAUUUGUAGGGAUUGGGACCCGCAUCGUUUGCUGUGAAAAAAUUAGAGUGUUUAAAGCAGGCAAUCGCUUGAAUACACUAGCAUGGAAUAAUAAGAUAGGACUUUGGUACUAUUUUGUUGGUUUGCAUACCAAAUUAAUGAUCAACAGGAACAGUUUGAGGAUAUUCGUAUGAACAUGUCAGAGGUGAAAUUCUUGGAUUUUGAUCAGACGAACUACUGCGAAAGCAUUUAUCAAGGAUGUUUUCAUUAA
RNAcentral lists this ribosomal RNA (383 nucleotides) under uncultured eukaryote. RNAcentral's name for it is "partial 18S ribosomal RNA". It matches the Rfam family "Eukaryotic small subunit ribosomal RNA", at positions 592 to 976 of the family's 1831-position model. The record is from RNAcentral.